Molecule: ribosomal RNA, 479 nt
Filed under: uncultured bacterium
Lineage: Bacteria
Description: partial 16S ribosomal RNA
Rfam family: Bacterial small subunit ribosomal RNA
Source: RNAcentral
ACUCAAAGGAAUUGACGGGGGCCCGCACAAGCAGCGGAGCGUGUGGUUUAAUUCGAUGCGACGCGAAGAACCUUACCUAGACUUGACAUGACGGUGCAAACCCUGGAAACAGGGUCCCUCUUCGGAGCACCGCCACAGAUGUUGCAUGGCUGUCGUCAGCUCGUGUCGUGAGAUGUUGGGUUAAGUCCCGCAACGAGCGCAACCCCCGUGGUCUGUUGCAUACUCAGGCCAGACUGCCUACAAAAUAGGAGGAAGGUGGGGAUGACGUCAAGUCCGCAUGGCUCUUACGUCUAGGGCUACACACACGCUACAAUGGCCGGUACAAUGCGCAGCCACGGGGCGACCCGGAGCGAAUCGCCAAAACCGGUCUCAGUUCGGAUGGUAGGCUGCAACUCGCCUGCCUGAAGUCGGAGUUGCUAGUAACCGCAUGUCAGCACAGUGCGGUGAAUAUGUUCCCGGGCCUUGUACACACCGCCCGU